This 575-nucleotide ribosomal RNA is filed under the name uncultured bacterium. Its description in RNAcentral is "partial 16S ribosomal RNA". It matches the Rfam family "Bacterial small subunit ribosomal RNA", at positions 355 to 914 of the family's 1533-position model. The record is from RNAcentral.
UGGGGAAUUUUGGACAAUGGGCGAAAGCCUGAUCCAGCAAUGCCGCGUGUGUGAAGAAGGCCUUCGGGUUGUAAAGCACUUUUGUCCGGAAAGAAAUCCUUGGCUCUAAUACAGUCGGGGGAUGACGGUACCGGAAGAAUAAGCACCGGCUAACUACGUGCCAGCAGCCGCGGUAAUACGUAGGGUGCAAGCGUUAAUCGGAAUUACUGGGCGUAAAGCGUGCGCAGGCGGUUUGCUAAGACCGAUGUGAAAUCCCCGGGCUCAACCUGGGGAACUGCAUUGGUGACUGGCAGGCUAGAGUAUGGCAGGAGGGGGGUAGAAUUCCACGUGUAGCAGUGAAAUGCGUAGAGAUGUGGAGGAAUACCGAUGGCGAAAGGCAGCCCCCUGGGGCCAAAUACUGACGCUCAUGCACGAAAGCGUGGGGAGCAAAACAGGAUUAGAUACCCUGGUAGUCCACGCCCUAAAACGAUGUCAACUAGUUGUUGGGGAUUCAUUUCCUUAGUAACGUAGCUAACGCGUGAAGUUGACCGCCUGGGGGAGUACGGUCGCAAGAUUAAAAACUCAAAGGAAUUGAC